UCCUGGCUCAGGACGAACGCUGGCGGCGUGCCUAAUACAUGCAAGUCGAGCGGAAUCGAUGGAGUGCUUGCACUCCUGAGAUUUAGCGGCGGACGGGUGAGUAACACGUAGGCAACCUGCCCUCAAGACUGGGAUAACUACCGGAAACGGUAGCUAAUACCGGAUAGGAUAUUUGGCUGCAUGGCCGAAUAUGGAAAGGCGGAGCAAUCUGUCACUUGAGGAUGGGCCUGCGGCGCAUUAGCUAGUUGGUGGGGUAAUGGCCUACCAAGGCGACGAUGCGUAGCCGACCUGAGAGGGUGAACGGCCACACUGGGACUGAGACACGGCCCAGACUCCUACGGGAGGCAGCAGUAGGGAAUCUUCCGCAAUGGACGAAAGUCUGACGGAGCAACGCCGCGUGAGUGAUGAAGGUUUUCGGAUCGUAAAGCUCUGUUGCCAGGGAAGAACGCCAGAGAGAGUAACUGCUCUUUGGGUGACGGUACCUGAGAAGAAAGCCCCGGCUAACUACGUGCCAGCAGCCGCGGUAAUACGUAGGGGGCAAGCGUUGUCCGGAAUUAUUGGGCGUAAAGCGCGCGCAGGCGGUUCUUUAAGUCUGGUGUUUAAACCCGGAGCUUAACUUCGGGACGCACUGGAAACUGGGGAACUUGAGUGCAGAAGAGGAGAGUGGAAUUCCACGUGUAGCGGUGAAAUGCGUAGAUAUGUGGAGGAACACCAGUGGCGAAGGCGACUCUCUGGGCUGUAACUGACGCUG
RNAcentral lists this ribosomal RNA (751 nucleotides) under Paenibacillus campinasensis. RNAcentral's name for it is "bacterial SSU rRNA". It matches the Rfam family "Bacterial small subunit ribosomal RNA", at positions 17 to 748 of the family's 1533-position model. The record is from RNAcentral. Lineage: Bacteria; Bacillati; Bacillota; Bacilli; Caryophanales; Paenibacillaceae.